Molecule: non-coding RNA, 23 nt
Filed under: Cricetulus griseus (Chinese hamster)
Lineage: Eukaryota; Metazoa; Chordata; Mammalia; Rodentia; Cricetidae
Source: RNAcentral
GAAGUAACUAGGAAACCCUGAAG